GCGCAGAUAGUACAAUGGCUAGUAUAGCGGCCUUCCAAGCCGUUGAUCCGGGUUCGAAAAUGAAUCUUUCAUCGAAUGUCCCGGUCUGCGCA
Molecule: transfer RNA, 92 nt
Filed under: Candidatus Woesearchaeota archaeon
Lineage: Archaea; Nanobdellati; Candidatus Woesearchaeota
Description: tRNA-Gly
Rfam family: tRNA
About the family: Transfer RNA (tRNA) molecules are approximately 80 nucleotides in length.
Source: RNAcentral